AUCGCUUCUCGGCCUUUUGGCUAAGAUCAAGUGUAGCAUUUGUUCUUAUCAGUUUAGUAUUUGAUGCAUUCUCUAUCCGAGGAUAAUGUGUUAAAUGGAAUUUUGGAGCCAGGAAGUGGAAUAGGGGCUUGCUCCGUACACUCCAUGCAGUGACCUGAUAUUGCAGUAUUUCUAAGAGCGUUGCACUUCUU
Small nuclear RNA from Ornithorhynchus anatinus (platypus), 191 nucleotides. RefSeq annotates it as U2 spliceosomal RNA. NCBI's taxonomy places the organism in Eukaryota, Metazoa, Chordata, Mammalia, Monotremata, Ornithorhynchidae. The record is from RefSeq and is a predicted model, not a curated record. The transcript has a single exon.